GCCCAGACUCCUACGGGAGGCAGCAGUGGGGAAUAUUGCACAAUGGGGGAAACCCUGAUGCAGCGACGCCGCGUGAGUGAAGAAGUAAUUCGUUAUGUAAAGCUCUAUCAGCAGGGAAGAAAAUGACGGUACCUGAGUAAGAAGCCACGGCUAACUACGUGCCAGCAGCCGCGGUAAUACGUAGGUGGCAAGCGUUGUCCGGAUUUACUGGGUGUAAAGGGCGUGCAGCCGGGAAGACAAGUCAGAUGUGAAAUCCCGCGGCUCAACCGCGGAACUGCAUUUGAAACUGUUUUUCUUGAGUACCGGAGAGGUCAUCGGAAUUCCUUGUGUAGCGGUGAAAUGCGUAGAUAUAAGGAAGAACACCAGUGGCGAAGGCGGAUGACUGGACGGCAACUGACGGUGAGGCGCGAAAGCGUGGGGAGCAAACAGGAUUAGAUACCCUCGUACG
RNAcentral lists this ribosomal RNA (448 nucleotides) under uncultured bacterium. RNAcentral's name for it is "bacterial SSU rRNA". It matches the Rfam family "Bacterial small subunit ribosomal RNA", at positions 329 to 793 of the family's 1533-position model. The record is from RNAcentral.